Molecule: ribosomal RNA, 245 nt
Filed under: uncultured bacterium
Lineage: Bacteria
Also listed under: 1 other name
Description: partial 16S ribosomal RNA
Rfam family: Bacterial small subunit ribosomal RNA
Source: RNAcentral
UACGUAGGUGGCAAGCGUUGUCCGGAAUUAUUGGGCGUAAAGCGCGCGCAGGCGGUCCUUUAAGUCUGAUGUGAAAGCCCACGGCUCAACCGUGGAGGGUCAUUGGAAACUGGGGGACUUGAGUGCAGAAGAGGAAAGCGGAAUUCCACGUGUAGCGGUGAAAUGCGUAGAGAUGUGGAGGAACACCAGUGGCGAAGGCGGCUUUCUGGUCUGUAACUGACGCUGAGGCGCGAAAGCGUGGGGAG